This 837-nucleotide ribosomal RNA is filed under the name Enterococcus sp. Gull9_E03_1. RNAcentral's name for it is "bacterial SSU rRNA". It matches the Rfam family "Bacterial small subunit ribosomal RNA", at positions 66 to 878 of the family's 1533-position model. The record is from RNAcentral. Lineage: Bacteria; Bacillati; Bacillota; Bacilli; Lactobacillales; Enterococcaceae.
AUUCUUUCUCCCAGAGCUUGCUCUCCUUGAGAAAGAGGAGUGGCGGACGGGUGAGUAACACGUGGGUAACCUGCCCAUCAGAGGGGGAUAACACUUGGAAACAGGUGCUAAUACCGUAUAACAAUCUGAUGCCGCAUGGUUUUAAUUGAAAGGCGCUUUCGGGUGUCGCUGAUGGAUGGACCCGCGGUGCAUUAGCUAGUUGGUGAGGUAACGGCUCACCAAGGCCACGAUGCAUAGCCGACCUGAGAGGGUGAUCGGCCACAUUGGGACUGAGACACGGCCCAAACUCCUACGGGAGGCAGCAGUAGGGAAUCUUCGGCAAUGGACGAAAGUCUGACCGAGCAACGCCGCGUGAGUGAAGAAGGUUUUCGGAUCGUAAAACUCUGUUGUUAGAGAAGAACAAGGAUGAUAGUAACUGAUCCUCCCUUGACGGUAUCUAACCAGAAAGCCACGGCUAACUACGUGCCAGCAGCCGCGGUAAUACGUAGGUGGCAAGCGUUGUCCGGAUUUAUUGGGCGUAAAGCGAGCGCAGGCGGUUUCUUAAGUCUGAUGUGAAAGCCCCCGGCUCAACCGGGGAGGGUCAUUGGAAACUGGGAGACUUGAGUGCAGAAGAGGAGAGUGGAAUUCCAUGUGUAGCGGUGAAAUGCGUAGAUAUAUGGAGGAACACCAGUGGCGAAGGCGGCUCUCUGGUCUGUAACUGACGCUGAGGCUCGAAAGCGUGGGGAGCAAACAGGAUUAGAUACCCUGGUAGUCCACGCCGUAAACGAUGAGUGCUAAGUGUUGGAGGGUUUCCGCCCUUCAGUGCUGCAGCUAACGCAUUAAGCACUCCGCCUGGGG